RNAcentral lists this ribosomal RNA (422 nucleotides) under uncultured bacterium. RNAcentral describes it as "bacterial SSU rRNA". It matches the Rfam family "Bacterial small subunit ribosomal RNA", at positions 355 to 774 of the family's 1533-position model. The record is from RNAcentral.
UGAGGAAUAUUGGACAAUGGAUGGAAAUCUGAUCCAGCCAUGCCGCGUGCAGGAAGACGGCCCUAUGGGUUGUAAACUGCUUUUGUAUGGGAGCAAUAAGGACUACGUGUAGUUUGAUGAGAGUACCAUACGAAUAAGCAUCGGCUAACUCCGUGCCAGCAGCCGCGGUAAUACGGAGGAUGCGAGCGUUAUCCGGAUUUAUUGGUUUUAACGGGUGCGUAGGCGGCGAUAUAAGUCAGUGGUGAAAUAUUUCGGCUUAACCGAGAGACUGCCAUUGAUACUGUGUUGCUAGAAUAUGGUUGCUGUGAGUGGAAUGUGUGGUGUAGCGGUGAAAUGCUUAGAUAUCACACAGAAUAUCGAUUGCGAAGGCAGCUCACAAAGCCAUUAUUGACGCUGAGGCACGGAAGUGUGGGGAUCAAACA